UGGCGGCCCCGGGUCAAUCCCGAGGCCACGCCCGUCUGAGGGUCGGCU
This 48-nucleotide ribosomal RNA is filed under the name Pyramidula sp. 4 OR-2015. RNAcentral describes it as "partial 5.8S ribosomal RNA". Lineage: Eukaryota; Metazoa; Mollusca; Gastropoda; Stylommatophora; Pyramidulidae. The record is from RNAcentral.